GUCUAUGGCCAUACCACCCAGAAUGCACCUGAUCUUGUCUGGACUUAGAAACUAAGUGGGGUCAGGCUUGGUUAGUACAUGGAUGGGAGAAAUCCUUUUCUCUCUGACUUUGAUAGGCCAGAAAUG
This 126-nucleotide ribosomal RNA is filed under the name Jaculus jaculus (lesser Egyptian jerboa). The record is from RNAcentral. Lineage: Eukaryota; Metazoa; Chordata; Mammalia; Rodentia; Dipodidae.